UACGUAGGCAGCAAGCGUUGUUCGGAGUUACUGGGCGUAAAGAGUAUGUAGGCGGUGUUCUAAGUUCGGUGUGAAAUCUCCCGGCUCAACUGGGAGGGUGCGCCGAAGACUGGGAUGCUGGAGUCUCGGAGAGGAACGCGGAAUUCCUGGUGUAGCGGUGAAAUGCGUAGAUAUCAGGAGGAACACCAGUGGUGUAGACGGCGUUCUGGACGAGUACUGACGCUGAGAUACGAGAGCGUGGGGAGCAAACAGG
This 253-nucleotide ribosomal RNA is filed under the name uncultured bacterium. RNAcentral describes it as "partial 16S ribosomal RNA". It matches the Rfam family "Bacterial small subunit ribosomal RNA", at positions 524 to 776 of the family's 1533-position model. The record is from RNAcentral.